AAUGAACGCUGGCGGCAGGCCUAACACAUGCAAGUCGAACGAGGCAGCAAUGCCUAGUGGCGGACGGGUGAGUAACGCGUGGGAACGUGCCCCUUGGUACGGAAUAGCCCUGGGAAACUGGGAGUAACACCGUAUGUGGUCGAGAGACGAAAGAUUUAUCGCCAAGGGAUCGGCCCGCGUUGGAUUAGUUAGUUGGUGGGUUAAUGGCUUACCAAGCCGACGAUCCAUAGCUGGUUUGAGAGGAUGAUCAGCCACACUGGGACUGAGACACGGCCCAGACUCCUACGGGAGGCAGCAGUGGGGAAUCUUAGACAAUGGAGGAAACCCUGAUCUGGCCAUGCCGCGUGAUCGAUGAAGGCCUUAGGGUUGUAAAGAUCUUUCAGUGGGGAAGAUAAUGACGGUACCCACAGAAGAAGCCCCGGCUAACUCCGUGCCAGCCGCCGCAGUAA
This 449-nucleotide ribosomal RNA is filed under the name uncultured bacterium. RNAcentral's name for it is "partial 16S ribosomal RNA". It matches the Rfam family "Bacterial small subunit ribosomal RNA", at positions 29 to 523 of the family's 1533-position model. The record is from RNAcentral.